RNAcentral lists this small RNA (211 nucleotides) under Arabidopsis thaliana (thale cress). Its description in RNAcentral is "ATSL257650". Lineage: Eukaryota; Viridiplantae; Streptophyta; Magnoliopsida; Brassicales; Brassicaceae. The record is from RNAcentral.
UUUUUUUUUAACCUAACCGCUACCGUCCGCAACCGCAAAUACUUGCGGGAAGGAGCUUUUGAAAUCUGGCAAUUUCGAACGGUAUCUAGCGGUUUCUAUGAUUGGUGCCAACCGCUAAUAACCGCUACCAUCUGCAAACGCUGCGUUUGCAGGUGGCAGAAGGAGAACCAAUCAAGCCCUUAAAACAUAUAGAUUUGGUUGACGUUUCUUA